UACGGGGGGGGCAAGCGUUGUUCGGAAUUACUGGGCGUAAAGGGCUCGUAGGCGGCCAACUAAGUCAGACGUGAAAUCCCUCGGCUUAACCGGGGAACUGCGUCUGAUACUGGGCGGCUAGAGUCUGGUAGGGGGAUCUGGAAUUCCUGGUGUAGCGGUGGAAUGCGCAGAUAUCAGGAGGAACACCGGUGGCGAAGGCGGGAUCCUGGGCCAGUACUGACGCUGAGGAGCGAAAGCGUGGGGA
Molecule: ribosomal RNA, 244 nt
Filed under: uncultured bacterium
Lineage: Bacteria
Description: partial 16S ribosomal RNA
Rfam family: Bacterial small subunit ribosomal RNA
Source: RNAcentral